GACGAACGCUGGCGGCGUGCUUAACACAUGCAAGUCGAACGGAAAGGCCCUGCUUUUGUGGGGUGCUCGAGUGGCGAACGGGUGAGUAACACGUGAGUAACCUGCCCUUGACUUUGGGAUAACUUCAGGAAACUGGGGCUAAUACCGGAUAGGAGCUCCUGCUGCAUGGUGGGGGUUGGAAAGUUUCGGCGGUUGGGGAUGGACUCGCGGCUUAUCAGCUUGUUGGUGGGGUAGUGGCUUACCAAGGCUUUGACGGGUAGCCGGCCUGAGAGGGUGACCGGCCUCAUUGGGACUGAGGUACGGACCAGACUCCUACGGGAGGCAGCAGUGGGGAAUAUUGCAGAAUGGGGGGACGCCUGAUGCAGCGACGCCGCGUGCGGGAUGACGGCCUUCGGGUUGUAAACCGCUUUGGCCUGUGACGAAGCGUGAGUGGCGGUAAUGGGUAAAGAAGCACCGGCUAACUACGUG
RNAcentral lists this ribosomal RNA (468 nucleotides) under uncultured bacterium. RNAcentral's name for it is "partial 16S ribosomal RNA". It matches the Rfam family "Bacterial small subunit ribosomal RNA", at positions 28 to 507 of the family's 1533-position model. The record is from RNAcentral.